RNAcentral lists this ribosomal RNA (207 nucleotides) under uncultured bacterium. RNAcentral describes it as "partial 16S ribosomal RNA". It matches the Rfam family "Bacterial small subunit ribosomal RNA", at positions 568 to 774 of the family's 1533-position model. The record is from RNAcentral.
CGUGUAGGCGGAUCGGCCAGUCAGAUGUGAAAGCCCCGGGCUUAACCUGGGAACUGCAUUUGAUACUGCCGAUCUAGAGUCCGGGAGAGGAUAGUGGAAUUCCCAGUGUAGAGGUGAAAUUCGUAGAUAUUGGGAAGAACACCAGUGGCGAAGGCGGCUAUCUGGACCGGUACUGACGCUGAGGCGCGAGAGCGUGGGGAGCAAACA